This is a long non-coding RNA of Drosophila elegans, 1512 nucleotides long. RefSeq lists it as uncharacterized. The record is from RefSeq and is a predicted model, not a curated record. Lineage: Eukaryota; Metazoa; Arthropoda; Insecta; Diptera; Drosophilidae. The transcript is spliced from 3 exons.
UAUACAUAGAUAAGAAGAAACACUGUUUUGUAGAAAUAGUUUCUGUUCUGGUUUCUUUAUUGCGACCGACCACUUUCUAAACUGCUUUGUGUGGCUUUUCAAAUAUUAAGAUUGGUAGAUUUAUGAACGUAACAAAAUUAAAUGCAGUAAGAAACCCUUGUAAAAAAGUUUGAACAUACUUGAACAUAGAUAGGUGAAAUUGUGUACUACCUUUUUUGUUAUGGAACAAUAACAUAUGCACAUAGAUACUUUUAUAAAUAAUUUAUUAAAGAAAAGUACUCUUUUUUAAUUUCAGUCAACUCGAUUCUCUGUAAUUUUAUGGGAUACAGACCAGCCUGAAACAUAUGUACAUAUGUGCAUAAAUAUGGAGUGCAAGCAAAAAUCAAGAUCCAGCAUAUUAUUACUAUUCGUGGCAGUGUUUUUGGGUUUGUAUUACUUAUCAUUUGAUAAGUUUUAGUCAGACCUCACAUUGAAGAAAGUUACUAAGAUUGACCCAGAAUUGAACAUCUGCUGUGUUGGUCCGAUACACCAAUCUAAAAGUAUCAAUAAAAGACACCACACUUGUGCUCUAGUUUGACAAGAAACCAUAGCUUUUAAACUAGUAAAUCUACAGAAAAGUAUACAUAUGCUGCUUAAAGGGCAUUGACAAAUGUUAAUCAAGCUGCCUAAUUAUAUACAUAUAUAUAUAUAUAUAUAUAUGUAUGUAUAUAUAAACAUAUAUAUAUACAUUUUUUAACGCUUUUUUUAAAAAUAUAAACGGUCCUAAUGAUUUUUCUUAAACAUGUUUAAUAUAUCGCCCUUGAGAUUCCACAACUUUUGAUAUACAUAUAACACAUGGUAAUUCGAAAGCAACAAAACCGUCAACUUUUCUCAGUUCAUAGCACCAAAACCCCUGAAAAUGUAAUACAAAAUAUUUUUAAGUAAAAGCAAGAAAAGUUGUCACCAAAUAUUUCAAAAAUAUUUAGUAUUUAUUUUAAGCUUAAGCUAAAUUUUGUGCAUAUACUUUAAAAAAAAAAUGAGCAAGACAUUAGAAAAUAUGUUAUGUACAUUUUAUUAUUAUUAAAUUCUAACUUCGCUGUUUUUCAAUAGAUUUGAAUAUUCUUCGAUACAAAUUAAUGAAAUUAAUUAAUUUUUAUUAAAAUGAGACAAUGAUAUACUAAAUGCUCAAAUAAGCGCAAAAUCAUCAUAUCCGAAUAUUGUUUUUAAAGAUUAUUUAAUUUAAUAACAUAUACGCAAGUAAAUCAUAAUUUUAAAAACAUUGGGGUACUUUGACUAUGGUUUAAAAACCAAACUUCUGUUAUCAAACAAAAAAAGAAAGGAUGCAAACUUUGGCAAACUGAAGUUCCCUUGAAGCUGUUCUAAAAUUUAAAUGUUCUUGAAAAUAUUAAAAUUAUGAUUUACUUGCGUGUAUGUCUAAAAACACUGUAGCUAUGUACGAUGAUUUGCAGCUCAAUUAAUCGAUAUUCCCUAUGCCAGCUAUAUGAUAUCGUUUUCCGAUUUUAAUAAAAUUAA